CAUGAGGUGAACUUGAACCAAACUCGAGCCAUCUCAUAAAAAAAAUACAAGUUACUCACGAGCUUUUAAGAGCAGAGCAUGCCAAACCUCAGACUCAGGCCAUUAAUAGUCAAAACACCGCACAUCAAACACUGUUCCGUGUUCAUUACAUACAUUCACAAGAUACGCGGCCCUUUUGUUUCAAGGCGGUCCACACAAACGACUGCCCGAGUCACAAAACCCAGUCGUAUGACUGCCCAGUGUCGAAAUGGGAUUGCGUUUAGGCACUUUACCCGACACUCUCCUCCUCCCUUCUCACUGGUUCAGUAAAGGUGGGAGCUUUAUCGAAAGAGCGACGCCAUAACCACCGAUUCAAAAGCUCGGAGAAGUAAUGAACGACCUCUCCAAUGGAGCUCUGGGCGACCAAAGGUGCCGUCUUUUGGUUCCUCGACUCGGUUCCGGAGUCUGACCUUCGCCUCGCCCAGCACGGGCAGCUCAUCAAGAUUACUGGGUUUCUCAUCUGUCACUCAGCAUGUGGUCUAUUCAACAUAUGGGAGGACGAACAAUAGCAUGUUGUUCCAAUGAUUCCAGAUUGCAUCAUGUGUAAGUCUCUCCCUUGAAUCUUCAUAUAAAAAAGCUACCGGCUGUAUCUAUGCCUCUACUCUUUUAUAUGAGUACAGGGGGUUAUCUCCACAGCCAGGGAAUGUCAAGAGAUCAUGCUUCCAUUGGCAUUUAGCAUUUUGUGAGAAAAGAAAAUGGCAAACUUGGCAAAGCUUGAUUUCGCUACCGUGGACAUUACUGGAAAGAAUUACCUUACCUGGGUACUAGAUACCAAGAUCCAUCUACAAGCAGCGAAUCUUGAAGAUACCAUCAAGGAAGAGAGCAGCUCAUCCUCUCAAAAUUGGGCAAAGGCCAUGAUUUUUAUUCGUCGCUAUCUUGAUGAGGCACUAAAGAGCGAGUACUUAACGGUUGAAGAUCCGUUAGCCCUCUAGAAUGCCUUAAGAAGCAGAUAUAAUCACCAGACAACGAUGAUUCUUCCAAUAGCUCGUUAUGACUGGACUCACCUAAAGAUCCAAGAUUUCAAGUCAGUGGUUGAGUACAAUGCGGCAUUGUUUAGAAUUACCUCUCAGAUGAAGCUCUGUGGGGAUACUAUUACUGAGGAGAUGUUAUUGUAAAAGACUUUCAGCACAUUCCACGCCUCUAACAUGGUCCUGCAACAGUAGUAUAGAGCGCGAGGCUUCACUGAAUACAACCAGCUGAUAUUUGUGUUCCUGGUAGCUGAACAGAACAAUGAGCUCCUGAUGAAAAACCAUAAUUCCCGACCUACUGGAUCAGCACCGUUCCCAGAAGUGAAUGUUGUUUCCCUUGAAAGAAAUACCAUAUCAUCCCGUGGCAAUAAUUACAAACGAGGACGCAGCCACAAGCAAGGUCGGUGGAAAGGGAAAUGCAAGAACCAUGGUGUCCAGUUUCACAACCAAGUUCCAAGGCAUAAUCUAGGCCCAAACUUUAAAAAAUGCAAAUCACCAGAAAGGAAAAGCUCAGAUGAACACUCCUAGAAAUCUUGAUAGGAGUUUGCCAUAGGUGUGGUGGCAACGGACAUUUGGCGAGUACUUGUCGCACCCUGAAGCAUCUGGUGGAGCUGUAUCAAGCCUCAUUCAAGGAGAAGGGUGUCAAGAUCAAUUUCUUUGACCAGGCUCAAUCAAUGGAAACCCCUGAUCCAGUGACCAAUUUAUCAGGACAGUUAAACACAACCCACCUGUUGGAUAGUUAAACACAACUCACCUGGAUGCUACAAACUUUAUUAAUGAAAGAUGGAAUGAAGUUUAUGGGUCCGAUUGAAUUAUUUAUGUUUAAUGUACUCCUGUUAUUUGUACUUGUGGUUUAAUGCUCGCAUUUUCAAUUCAAUAAAAGU
Molecule: long non-coding RNA, 1891 nt
Organism: Malus domestica (apple)
Lineage: Eukaryota; Viridiplantae; Streptophyta; Magnoliopsida; Rosales; Rosaceae
Source: RefSeq, a predicted model, not a curated record